Suricata suricatta (meerkat) is the source of this 444-nucleotide long non-coding RNA. RefSeq lists it as uncharacterized. The record is from RefSeq and is a predicted model, not a curated record. Lineage: Eukaryota; Metazoa; Chordata; Mammalia; Carnivora; Herpestidae. The transcript has 3 exons.
AUCUCUUUGAAGAAAUGUUCCUGAACUUGCUUGUUCUUUUCCUUUAGAGAUGAACCUGUAACAGCCUCCUGAGUCUAAUCAGUAAAGUGUCGACCAAGUUAUGAUUUGACAGUGCUUCUCAAGCUAGGUUCUCAAACCUCCUGCGCCUCGGAGUCCAUGAGCCUUGGGAGUGACAAACCUAACAAUCUCCCUGCAUGAUCCUGGCUCACAUUAUGUUUUGAGAACCACAGCUUCAGGGAAAAAAAGAGAAUAGACAGAGAUUACCAAAGGUCCAGGAGAGAUGGUAACCCACCCUGAGCAUGUUUGAAACGUGUGGAUAUUAGCUACUUCUCCUAUGGGCUCUGAGUUGCAGUCACUUCCUCCAGCGGGAAGACAGUAAUCUAAAAACAGGAAGAGUGUGCUCCCAAAACUCAACCUCUCUGAUCUCAGACAUCACAACCUCCA